GGCGAUCUCGUCAUAAUAAUGCUUGUUAUUGGAAAGUAAUCUGGCGACUCUUGCCAUCAUAUUCACGUAAUACCUUCUAAAAAAAAAAGCGUGCUCUGUUGAGGUUCUGGCCAGCUGAAUAUAUUACGUUUCAGAGCCGUUUAUGAUCGUAAUUUUAUGAAAUAUCAUAAAUGCCCGCCUAAAACCUCUUAUUCAUCGUGUGCACCCCAGUAUAAUUAUGGGAUCACCUGCCAUAAAAUGACGAUUUGUACAUGGUAUUACACCAACAACAGUAUACCAACAAGUGUUACUGUUACAGCCGGAGACGGCUCUUUACCUGUGGUGAGUAUCGGUUUAUGUGUACAGGUGUGCUGGUGACACGUGCUUAGUUUUUUAUAUUAUUUUACAGACACUGCUGCUGGGGAUUUUUUUGAGGAGGAAGACGAACAGGAGAUGUUGAUGGUGGCCUCACAGGCUGAGGAACAACUUCCUCAAGAGAAAUGGCACUUAUCAAGCGUCAAGCUACAUUUACUCUGAGUGCACUUUAUCAAAGCAAAAAGGGAACUUAAAGGUCCACUGCUGCCUCCAGAGAGCCUGCUUGCGCCCCUGUUCCUGCCCUGGCCCCGCCCCCUGCUCCUCCAGCUGUGUGGACUCCUGGCCCGGUGGUCCAUCCCCCUGCAGAGCUUCCUGUCCACUGGAAUGAACACCUCCCAUCAUUCCAGCGAGACUGGAUCAGGAAGACUCUGUUCAGGGCCAAUGCUAAAACAGGGAAGGCAGAGCUGAUAUCACAUCCCAACUUCUGCUGUUACCCUCCCCAGCCCCCGACCAUCUUCACUCAGCCUCCUGCCUCUACUGACCUCUUCUUCUGACGCCCUGUUCCUCUGGAUGCCCCUGAAGAUGUGCUCCAUCCCACUCGUCUGUGUCCAGCCAGCCUGCAAUAACCACAAGCUGACAGCUGCUGGGCUCUACCGCACUGUGAGCAAGGUCCUGGACAUAGAUGGUGGUAUGACAGGGCCUCUGUGUCUGUGUCCCGCUUCACACAGAGGAACAGGCAACGCAGGGCAGAAGAGGAGGCCAGUGGAGCCCACAAAAGAAAGUAUGUGUGUAAUGUGGCAUUCAACAAGUGCACCAAGUGUGGGCAGCCCAAGACAAAAGAGUUUGGCCAUAGCUGCUUCAGGAGUGCCACUUUUUGCCCCAGUUUCUCAGGUGGCAAAUCUUUAGAGGAGUGGCUGGCAGAACAGCGCCAGCAGAAGAAACCAGGAACCCCCCCAAUCUGGAGGUGGACACACACUUGUAAAUACUGUAUAUUAGACUGUGUAAAUAUGUAAAUACAUCUUCAUACUUACCUCAGCUGCAACAGUAACUAAUCAAUGUCUGAAGGUAAAUACUUUUAAUUAAUACAUGUAAAUAGAUCUUUAUACUUACCUCAGCU
This is a long non-coding RNA of Acanthochromis polyacanthus (spiny chromis), 1411 nucleotides long. RefSeq lists it as uncharacterized. Lineage: Eukaryota; Metazoa; Chordata; Actinopteri; Pomacentridae. The record is from RefSeq and is a predicted model, not a curated record. The transcript is spliced from 3 exons.